ACAUGGAGGGAUAGAGAUGAAGAUGGAGACAUGGAGGUAUAGAGAUGAAGAUGGAGACAUGGAGGGAUAGAGAUGAAGAUGGAGACAUGGAGGGAUAGAGAUGAAGAUGGAGACAUGGAGGUAUAGAGAUGAAGAUGGAGACAUGGAGGUAUAGAGAUGAAGAUGGAGACAUGGAGGUAUAGAGAUGAAGAUGGAGACAUGGAGGGAUAGAGAUGAAGAUGGAGACAUGGAGGUAUAGAGAUGAAGAUGGAGACAUGGAGGUAUAGAGAUGAAGAUGGAGACAUGGAGGUAUAGAGAUGAAGAUGGAGACAUGGAGG
This is a long non-coding RNA of Oncorhynchus keta (chum salmon), 317 nucleotides long. RefSeq lists it as uncharacterized. The transcript is spliced from 3 exons. The record is from RefSeq and is a predicted model, not a curated record. NCBI's taxonomy places the organism in Eukaryota, Metazoa, Chordata, Actinopteri, Salmoniformes, Salmonidae.